GAAUUAGAUACUCUGGUAGUCCUAGCUGUAAACGAUGAGCACUAGGUGUUGGACCUUCGGGUUCAGUGCCGCAGCUAACGCAUUAAGUGCUCCACCUGGGGACUACGGCCGCAAGGCUAAAACUCAAAGGAAUUGACGGGGACCCGCACAAGCGGUGGAACAUGUGGUUUAAUUCGAUGCUACGCGAAGAACCUCACCAAGGCUUGACAUGCUCGUCGUAUCUCUAUGAAAGUGGAGAGUCAGCUAGGCUGGACGAUGCACAGGUGCUGCAUGGCUGUCGUCAGCUCGUGUCGUGAGAUGUUGGGUUAAGUCCCGCAACGAGCGCAACCAUUGCCCUAUGUUGCCACCCAGGUGACUUGCUUGCAAGUUGCCUGGCGCACUCUUAGGGGACUGCCUGGGAUAACCAGGAGGAAGGUGGAGAUGACGUCAAGUCAGUACGGCCCUUAUGCCUUGGGCUACACACGUGUUACAAUGGCAGGUACAAAGGGCAGCGACACAGUGAUGUGAAGCAAAUCCCGUAAAGCCGGUNUCAGUCCGGAUCGGAGUNUGCAACUCGACUCCGUGAAGUUGGAAUCGCUAGUAAUCGUGGAUCAGCAUGCCACGGUGAAUACGUUCCCGGGCCUUGUACACACCGCCCGUCACACCACGGAAGUUGGUUGUACCAGAAGACGUUGGGCUAACCUUCGGGAAGCAGGCGUCCAAGGUAUGGCUGGUAACUGGGGUGAAGUCGUAACAAGGUAA
RNAcentral lists this ribosomal RNA (741 nucleotides) under uncultured sediment bacterium. RNAcentral describes it as "bacterial SSU rRNA". It matches the Rfam family "Bacterial small subunit ribosomal RNA", at positions 775 to 1499 of the family's 1533-position model. The record is from RNAcentral.